GCAGAGCCCCGACGGGCUCCCGGACGAGCGGUGCCGUACCCGGACAGCGACAAGACGGCGCCAG
RNAcentral lists this non-coding RNA (64 nucleotides) under Aeromicrobium sp. Root472D3. RNAcentral also lists the same sequence under 1 other name. Lineage: Bacteria; Bacillati; Actinomycetota; Actinomycetes; Propionibacteriales; Nocardioidaceae. The record is from RNAcentral.